This 481-nucleotide ribosomal RNA is filed under the name uncultured bacterium. Its description in RNAcentral is "partial 16S ribosomal RNA". It matches the Rfam family "Bacterial small subunit ribosomal RNA", at positions 28 to 507 of the family's 1533-position model. The record is from RNAcentral.
GAUGAACGCUGGCGGCGUGCUUAACACAUGCAAGUCGAACGAAGCACUUUAUUUGAUUUCCUUCGGGACUGAUUAUUUUGUGACUGAGUGGCGGACGGGUGAGUAACGCGUGGGUAACCUGCCUUGUACAGGGGGAUAACAGUUGGAAACGGCUGCUAAUACCGCAUAAGCGCACGGCAUCGCAUGAUGCAGUGUGAAAAACUCCGGUUGUAUAAGAUGGACCCGCGUUGGAUUAGCUAGUUGGUGAGGUAACGGCCCACCAAGGCGACGAUCCAUAGCCGAGCUGAGAGGGUGACCGGACACAUUGGGACUGAGACACGGCCCAAACUCCUACGGGAGGCAGCAGUGGGGAAUAUUGCAAAAUGGGCGAAAGCCUGAUGCAGCGACGCCGCGUGAGCGAAGAAGUAUUUCGGUAUGUAAAGCUCUAUCAGCAGGGAAGAUAAUGACGGUACCUGACUAAGAAGCACCGGCUAAAUACGUG